AAAAAAAAAAAAUUAUCAAGCAUCACUUCUGUUACCUGAGUUGCACAAAUAAGCAUGCAUCUAGUCUUAAAAUGUACAAGUGCUAUAAUUGUAUAGAAUUUAAAUGUAAUUGGUACGACAAGUGCUAUAAUUGUAUAGAAUUUAAAUGUAAUUGGUACGACACUGAAUCCUAUAUCUACACAUACAAAUGGCCUCCUUUUGCAUAGGCUUACACAAACAAAUUAUGGAUAUACUUCUUCUCUCUCCAGUUUUUUCUGCAACAUGACAUCAUUGAAAGCUCUUUUAAACAUCUUGGGUUUGAAUUUGAACUUCUAGUGAAUUUGGAAAGGGUUGCAAAUGCUAGACAACCUAGCAUGACGAGAAAAUGUGAAGAACCUGUAUUCUUGAUUGACAUUAUUACU
This 401-nucleotide unclassified non-coding RNA is filed under the name Hevea brasiliensis (rubber tree). The record is from RNAcentral. Lineage: Eukaryota; Viridiplantae; Streptophyta; Magnoliopsida; Malpighiales; Euphorbiaceae.